UCAAACUUCAUUGCUUACAUAUUUGCGCCGGGUGUACUCGUGACUCCACUUGGGGCGUUAAGCAUAAUCGUAAGUUCAGUGUUGGCGCACUUUGUGCUCAAGGAGCGGCUUGAGAAGCUCGGGGUCCUUGGCUGUGUGUCGUGCAUAGUAGGUUCAGUUGUUGUUGUCAUGCAUGCUCCUGGAGAGCAUAUGCCUAACUCUGUCAAGGAAAUCUAGAACCUAGCUACUCAACCAGGGUUUCUAGCAUAUGUGGUGACAGCAUUGUUACUUGUGGGAGCGCUAGUGCUCUUCUUUGAACCUCGAUACGGUUAGACUAACAUCCUGAUAUAUCUGGGUAUCUGCUCUUCAAUGGGAUCGCUAACGGUAAGUGUGCUUUGAGUGGCUGACGUACAGAUUAACUGUAGGAAUAUUCAGUUACUAAGCUUUCCUGACUCUGCAGGUCGUGAGCAUCAAAGCCAUUGGUGUUGCCAUAAAGCUUACGUUGGAUGGGGUGAAUCAGGCUGCUUAUCCAUACACAUGGCUUUUUCUUAAUUGUUUGUGGGGUUUCUCAAAUAAAUUACCUGAACAAGGUAUGGACAUCC
This is a long non-coding RNA of Zea mays, 581 nucleotides long. RefSeq lists it as uncharacterized. NCBI's taxonomy places the organism in Eukaryota, Viridiplantae, Streptophyta, Magnoliopsida, Poales, Poaceae. The record is from RefSeq and is a predicted model, not a curated record. The transcript has 3 exons.